CGUUGCAAUGAUGACACGUUUCCCACUGCUGCAUUGAGGCCGAGUGUGCCAUGCGGAGACUUCCCUUGGAGAACUGAGGAACG
This 83-nucleotide small nucleolar RNA is filed under the name Laticauda laticaudata (blue-ringed sea krait). Lineage: Eukaryota; Metazoa; Chordata; Lepidosauria; Squamata; Elapidae. The record is from RNAcentral.